Molecule: ribosomal RNA, 494 nt
Filed under: uncultured bacterium
Lineage: Bacteria
Description: partial 16S ribosomal RNA
Rfam family: Bacterial small subunit ribosomal RNA
Source: RNAcentral
GACGAACGCUGGCGGCGUGCUUAACACAUGCGAGUCGAACGGUGAAGCGCCUUCCUUUUUGGUGGGUGUGGAUGAGUGGCGAACGGGUGAGUAACACGUGAGUAACCUGCCCCCUUCUUCUGGAUAACCGCAUGAAAGUGUGGCUAAUACGGGAUAAUCUGGGUCUGUCGCAUGAUGGGUCUGGGAAAGAUAUUGUUUCGGUGGGGGAUGGGCUCGCGGCCUAUCAGCUUGUUGGUGGGGUGAUGGCCUACCAAGGCGGUGACGGGUAGCCGGCCUGAGAGGGUGGACGGUCACACUGGGACUGAGACACGGCCCAGACUCCUACGGGAGGCAGCAGUGGGGAAUAUUGCACAAUGGGCGCAAGCCUGAUGCAGCGACGCCGCGUGAGGGAUGGAGGCCUUCGGGUUGUGAACCUCUUUCGCCAGUGAAGCAGGCCUGCCUCGUUUGUGGGUGGGUUGACGGUAGCUGGAUAAGAAGCGCCGGCUAACUACGUG